This 372-nucleotide ribosomal RNA is filed under the name uncultured bacterium. Its description in RNAcentral is "partial 16S ribosomal RNA". It matches the Rfam family "Bacterial small subunit ribosomal RNA", at positions 338 to 708 of the family's 1533-position model. The record is from RNAcentral.
CCUACGGGACGCAGCAGUGAGGAAUAUUGGUCAAUGGUCGGGAGACUGAACCAGCCAAGCCGCGUGAGGGAUGAAGGUACAGAGUAUCGUAAACCUCUUUUGUCAGGGAACAAAGGCGGGGACGUGUCCCCGGAUGAGUGUACCUGAAGAAAAAGCAUCGGCUAACUCCGUGCCAGCAGCCGCGGUAAUACGGAGGAUGCGAGCGUUAUCUGGAUUUAUUGGGUUUAAAGGGUGCGAAGGCGGUUUGUUAAGUCAGCGGUCAAAGCCCGGGGCACAACCCCGCCCCGCCGUUGAGACUGGCAGUCGCGAGUUGGGGAGAGGUAUGCGGAAUGCGCGGUGUAGCGGUGAAAUGCUUAGAUAUCGCGCAGAACU